This 497-nucleotide ribosomal RNA is filed under the name uncultured bacterium. RNAcentral's name for it is "partial 16S ribosomal RNA". It matches the Rfam family "Bacterial small subunit ribosomal RNA", at positions 28 to 507 of the family's 1533-position model. The record is from RNAcentral.
GAUGAACGCUGGCGGCGUGCCUAAUACAUGCAAGUCGAGCGAACAGACGAGUAGCUUGCUCCUCUGACGUUAGCGGCGGACGGGUUAGUAACACGUGGAUAACCUACCUAUAAGACUGGGAUAACUUCGGGAAACCGGAGCUAAUACCGGAUAAUAUAUUGAACCGCAUGGUUCAAUAGUGAAAGACGGUUUUGCUGUCACUUAUAGAUGGAUCCGCGCCGCAUUAGCUAGUUGGUAAGGUAACGGCUUACCAAGGCAACGAUGCGUAGCCGACCUGAGAGGGUGAUCGGCCACACUGGAACUGAGACACGGUCCAGACUCCUACGGGAGGCAGCAGUAGGGAAUCUUCCGCAAUGGGCGAAAGCUUGACGGAGCAACGCCGCGUGAGUGAUGAAGGUCUUCGGAUCGUAAAACUCUGUUAUUAGGGAAGAACAAAUGUGUAAGUAACUAUGCACGUCUUGACGGUACCUAAUCAGAAAGCCACGGCUAGCUACGUG